Molecule: long non-coding RNA, 1682 nt
Organism: Homo sapiens (human)
Lineage: Eukaryota; Metazoa; Chordata; Mammalia; Primates; Hominidae
Source: Ensembl
AUGCUUCAGUUCCCUAAAAAAGAAAACACUUCUCCUGUGCAGGGGAAAUUGCUUCAAUGGAUAGAUUGCAUUUAAAUAAUUUAAGUAUAAAAUUACUCGAACAGGCCGACUGAUAUUUCGAAAACGAAACAGUCACAAUCACUUAAGAAUGCUGGCAAAGUUCGUGAUUUGGUGUGUAGAUGAGAGCUGGAGGGAAUGGGCUCCCCAUUGAGGUGAUGGACUUCAUCCCUGGUGCUAUUCAAGCAGUGGCUGUGGGCUUCCAGUCAGGGAUGCAGUGAAUGAGCCUCUUAUACCAGAGAAGGAUGGAUAGAGAAAAGCAUCAUUACAAAAGUGAAAUGUGUGAAUUUUAUUCUGGCUUUGAACAUUGAGUAGACGAAGAAGACAAUUCCAGACGGAGGAAACUCCACAAGAAAUAUCAUGGAAAUUUGAAAGAACACAGUGGGCUUGGGAAGAGAGAUCUCAGUGGUGGAAGCACCAUCAUCCCAAGGAGACUUAGGAAAAAGACAAGGCCCUGCUCUGAGGAGUGAAGACACAAUCCAGCAGGCAGGAGGGAUGGCUAAGUUCAAAGUCUUGAGAAGUGCCCCUCAUGGACACCCCAGGGUGCCCAUCUCCAGGUUACCACCAGGUGCUUCCAAGACCAAGAUAACCAGGCAAUCAUAGUAGAUGCAUCAAUGCACCCUUGCCCAAGGGCCUAGACAAGAGGUAUUGUUUAGCUUCGCAUGAAUUUUAUCACCUUGCCUAGAACCAGCCACCAUCUGCCAGGGCUCCUGACUUUUUCUGAAAUGAAUAGACACUAAAGCCUGCUGGGGAAUUUCAUGGAAAUCAAGAUGACUCAACCCAGAGUCCAUUUCAAGGCUAGGAUGCUAGAGGACGCCAACAAAGGAGUAGGGAAGUGAAACGGAUCAGCUCACAUCCAAGCCCUUGCAUGAUCAAUCCUGCAGUAGGAGUGCUGCUCAGUUGGGACUCAUGAGAGCCCGGAAGAGGAAAAAGCAGCUCUAAGCAUAGCAAAGAAGCUGUUAUGGAAAAGACCCAAAUGUUAAAAUGGUGGACAUAGUAAAGUGAUUGGUUCUGCUUAGGGGAAUCUAGAUCCCCACAUUUUGACCUCCACUGGAGUCUCAGAAGAACAAGUGCCAGGGGGGCUUGCCACAGAGGCCAAGGCAGUGAAUGUCAGGCACAUCACAGUCCCCAAGAUGGGGAGAAGACUGAGAUGCAGGGUAACAACUGCAAUCCAUUCAUGGGAGCCAUGUUUAUCUUAAAUCAUUGACAGUGAGAUAAGGAUCAUGUCAGCCUUCAUACCUUUGAUGAUGAUCCCAGGCUGCAACAGUGACACAUAGAACUGGAUUCAGUAACUAACUACAGAUUCCAUCAACCAGGACUAGUAAAGUGAAAGGCAGAAAUUGGGAGGAGGGGUUUCUUUCUUGCUUAUAAAACUUUAUUUGGUUGUGUUGAGUAUGUGCAUGUAUGUAUGAAAUCCCAUAAAGCAGUCUUCUUAGGAACAAGCCAACAUGCCACAAUGUAGGAGAUCUUUGGAGCACUGGCCUAAAUGGCAGAGAGCUCAAGGGACUCUGCUUUGUACAAGGCAUGAUUUGUACCACCACCACUAUCCCUGUUUCAGAGCACUGUUGAAUUGUUCCAAACCUGGAUUUCUAUGUCAGCUCCCUGUCUAUAGUACUUGACUGAUA